Molecule: unclassified non-coding RNA, 329 nt
Filed under: soil metagenome
Description: partial contains 5.8S ribosomal RNA, internal transcribed spacer 2, and large subunit ribosomal RNA
Rfam family: 5.8S ribosomal RNA (bases 1-120)
Source: RNAcentral
GAUGAAGAACGCAGCGAAAUGCGAUAAUUAAUGUGAAUUGCAGAAUUCAGUGAAUCAUCGAAUCUUUGAACGCACAUUGCGCCCCCUGGUAUUCCGGGGGGCAUGCCUGUCCGAGCGUCAUUACAACCCUCAAGCUCAGCUUGGUGUUGGGCCCCGCCGCCCCGGCGGGCCCUAAAGUCAGUGGCGGUGCCGGCCGGCUCCGAGCGUAGUAAUUCUUCUCGCUCUGGAGGUCCGGUCGUGUGCUCGCCAGCAACCCCCAAUUUUUUUCAGGUUGACCUCGGAUCAGGUAGGGAUACCCGCUGAACUUAAGCAUAUCAAUAAGCGGAGGA